This 497-nucleotide ribosomal RNA is filed under the name uncultured bacterium. RNAcentral's name for it is "partial 16S ribosomal RNA". It matches the Rfam family "Bacterial small subunit ribosomal RNA", at positions 28 to 507 of the family's 1533-position model. The record is from RNAcentral.
GAUGAACGCUGGCGGCGUGCCUAAUACAUGCAAGUCGAGCGAACGGACGAGAAGCUUGCUUCUCUGAUGUUAGCGGCGGACGGGUGAGUAACACGUGGAUAACCGACCUAUAACACUGGGAUAACUUCGGGAAACCGGAGCUAAUACCGGCUAAUAUUUUGAACCGCAUGGUUCAACAGUGAAAGACGGUCUUGCUGUCACUUAUAGAUGGAUCCGCGCUGCAUUAGCUAGUUGGUAAGGUAACGGCUUACCAAGGCAACGAUGCAUAGCCGACCUGAGAGGGUGAUCGGCCACACUGGAACUGAGACACGGUCCAGACUCCUACGGGAGGCAGCAGUAGGGAAUCUUCCGCAAUGGGCGAAAGCCUGACGGAGCAACGCCGCGUGAGUGAUGAAGGUCUUCGGAUCGUAAAACUCUGUUAUUAGGGAAGAACAUAUGUGUAAGUAACUGUGCACAUCUUGACGGUACCUAAUCAGAAAGCCACGGCUAACUACGUG